GCGCUCGUGUGAUACGGAGUUUCAUCCGGUAAAGCGAAUGAUCAGAGGAGCUGGGCUCCUUGCGAGCUCAACCUAUUCUCAAACUUUCAAUGGGUGAGACGUCUCGCUGGCUUCACUGCAGCGACGACUCUGAAUCCGAGUGCCCAGUGGGCCACUUUUGGUAAGCAGAACUGGCGAUGCGGGAUGAACCGCAUGUCGAGUUAAGGUGCCUAAGCGAACGCAAAUCAGAUACCAUGAAAGGUGUUGAUUGCUCACGACAGCAGGACGGUGGCCAUGGAAGUCGGCAUCCGCUAAGGAGUGUGUAACAACUCACCUGCCGAAGCAAUCAGCCCUGAAAAUGGAUGGCGCUAAAGCGUUCCACCGAUACUCGACCGUCGUCGGCAGGCGACGUGCAUGCCACGUCUCAAGCCACGACGAGUAGGGCGGCGCGGUGGUGAGCGUCGAAGGCGUAGCCGUGAGGCUAGCUGGAGCCGCCAUCGGUGCAGAUCUUGGUGGUAGUAGCAAAUACACAAGCAAGAUCCUUGUGGACCGAUGUGGAGAAGGGUUCCGCGCGAACAGUACUUGGACGUGGGUGAGCCGGCCCUAAGCCAACGGGUAAUUCCCGCAUCCCGUGUUGAACGUUUCUGAAUCGAAUAACAUGGGUUGAU
Molecule: ribosomal RNA, 647 nt
Filed under: Ceratoconcha domingensis
Lineage: Eukaryota; Metazoa; Arthropoda; Thecostraca; Balanomorpha; Pyrgomatidae
Description: eukaryotic LSU rRNA
Rfam family: Eukaryotic large subunit ribosomal RNA
Source: RNAcentral